RNAcentral lists this ribosomal RNA (412 nucleotides) under uncultured Paludibacter sp. RNAcentral describes it as "bacterial SSU rRNA". It matches the Rfam family "Bacterial small subunit ribosomal RNA", at positions 355 to 764 of the family's 1533-position model. Lineage: Bacteria; Pseudomonadati; Bacteroidota; Bacteroidia; Bacteroidales; Paludibacteraceae. The record is from RNAcentral.
UGAGGAAUAUUGGUCAAUGGGCGAGAGCCUGAACCAGCCAAGUCGCGUGAAGGAAGAAGGUUCUAUGGAUUGUAAACUUCUUUUGUAAGGGAAUAAAAAGAGUUACGUGUAACUUAUUGUAUGUACUUUACGAAUAAGGAUCGGCUAACUCCGUGCCAGCAGCCGCGGUAAUACGGAGGAUCCAAGCGUUAUCCGGAUUUAUUGGGUUUAAAGGGUGCGUAGGCGGAAGAUUAAGUCAGUGGUGAAAGUUUGCAGCUCAACUGUAAAAUUGCCAUUGAAACUGAUUUUCUUGAGUGUAAAUGAGGUAGGCGGAAUGUGUUGUGUAGCGGUGAAAUGCUUAGAUAUAACACAGAACACCAAUUGCGAAGGCAGCUUACUGGGAUACAACUGACGCUGAGGCACGAAAGCGUGG